UAAGUGUUAAUUAUAUUUACCAGGGUAGUAUUAGUUAAAGUCUUUAAACCCAAAGAAUUUGGCGGUAUUUCAUUCCAUUCAGAGGAACCUAUCCCAUGAUUGAUAGUACACGAUUAACUUUACUUAAUUUAUUUGUUUGUAUAUCUCCGUUAUCAGAAAAUCUUUUUAGAGUUAUAAUUUUCUUAAUUUGUAAUUAUAAAUUAUUUCAGGUCAAGGUGCAGUUUAUAAUUAAGAGGAGAUGGGUUACAAUAUAUUUUUGUAUAUUACGGAUUUAAUAUUGAAAUAUUAUUAAUGAAGGUGGAUUUGAUAGUAAUUUAACAUAUUUAAUUUAAUUGAUAUUGGCUCUGAGGU
Molecule: ribosomal RNA, 351 nt
Filed under: Chortopodisma cobellii
Lineage: Eukaryota; Metazoa; Arthropoda; Insecta; Orthoptera; Acrididae
Description: partial 12S ribosomal RNA
Source: RNAcentral